GCAAGUCGAGCGGACCGACGGGAGCUUGCUCCCUUAGGUCAGCGGCGGACGGGUGAGUAACACGUGGGUAACCUGCCUGUAAGACUGGGAUAACUCCGGGAAACCGGGGCUAAUACCGGAUGCUUGAUUGAACCGCAUGGUUCAAUCAUNAAAGGCGGCUUCGGCUGCCGUUUACAGAUGGACCCGCGGCGCAUUAGCUAGUUGGUGAGGUAACGGCUCACCAAGGCGACGAUGCGUAGCCGACCUGAGAGGGUGAUCGGCCACACUGGGACUGAGACACGGCCCAGACUCCUACGGGAGGCAGCAGUAGGGAAUCUUCCGCAAUGGACGAAAGUCUGACGGAGCAACGCCGCGUGAGUGAUGAAGGUUUUCGGAUCGUAAAGCUCUGUUGUUAGGGAAGAACAAGUACCGUUCGAAUAGGGCGGUACCUUGACGGUACCUAACCAGAAAGCCACGGCUAACUACGUGCCAGCAGCCGCGGUAAUACGUAGGUGGCAAGCGUUGUCCGGAAUUAUUGGGCGUAAAGCGCGCGCAGGCGGUUUCUUAAGUCUGAUGUGAAAGCCCCCGGCUCAACCGGGGAGGGUCAUUGGAAACUGGGGAACUUGAGUGCAGAAGAGGAGAGUGGAAUUCCACGUGUAGCGGUGAAAUGCGUAGAGAUGUGGAGGAACACCAGUGGCGAAGGCGACUCUCUGGUCUGUAACUGACGCUGAGGCGCGAAAGCGUGGGGAGCGAACAGGAUUAGAUACCCUGGUAGUCCACGCCGUAAACGAUGAGUGCUAAGUGUUAGAGGGUUUCCGCCCUUUAGUGCUGCAGCAAACGCAUUAAGCACUCCGCCUGGGGAGUACGGUCGCAAGACUGAAACUCAAAGGAAUUGACGGGGGCCCGCACAAGCGGUGGAGCAUGUGGUUUAAUUCGAAGCAACGCGAAGAACCUUACCAGGUCUUGACAUC
RNAcentral lists this ribosomal RNA (950 nucleotides) under Bacillus licheniformis. RNAcentral describes it as "bacterial SSU rRNA". It matches the Rfam family "Bacterial small subunit ribosomal RNA", at positions 57 to 988 of the family's 1533-position model. The record is from RNAcentral. Lineage: Bacteria; Bacillati; Bacillota; Bacilli; Caryophanales; Bacillaceae.